CUGGCUCAGGAUGAACGCUAGCGACAGGCUUAACACAUGCAAGUCGAGGGGCAUCACGGGAGUAGCAAUACAACUGGUGGCGACCGGCGCACGGGUGAGUAACGCGUAUGCAACCUACCUAUCAGAGGGGAAUAACCCGGCGAAAGUCGGACUAAUACCGCAUAAAACAGGGGCACCGCAUGGUGAUAUUUGUUAAAGAAAUUCGCUGAUAGAUGGGCAUGCGUUCCAUUAGGUAGUUGGUGAGGUAACGGCUCACCAAGCCGACGAUGGAUAGGGAACUGAGAGGUUGGUCCCCCACACUGGUACUGAGACACGGACCAGACUCCUACGGGAGGCAGCAGUGAGGAAUAUUGGUCAAUGGGCGGGAGCCUGAACCAGCCAAGUCGCGUGAAGGAAGAAGGAUCUAUGGUUCGUAAACUUCUUUUGCAGGGGAAUAAAGUGCAGGACGUGUCCUGUUUUGUAUGUACCCUGAGAAUAAGGAUCGGCUAACUCCGUGCCAGCCGCCGC
RNAcentral lists this ribosomal RNA (507 nucleotides) under uncultured bacterium. RNAcentral describes it as "bacterial SSU rRNA". It matches the Rfam family "Bacterial small subunit ribosomal RNA", at positions 19 to 518 of the family's 1533-position model. The record is from RNAcentral.